GAUGAACGCUGGCGGCGUGCCUAAUACAUGCAAGUCGAGCGAAUGGAUUAAGAGCUUGCUCUUAUGAAGUUAGCGGCGGACGGGUGAGUAACACGUGAGUAACCUGCCCAUAAGACUGGGAUAACUCCGGGAAACCGGGGCUAAUACCGGAUAACAUUUUGAACCGAAUGGUUCGAAAUUGAAAGGCGGCUUCGGCUGUCACUUAUGGAUGGACCCGCGUCGCAUUAGCUAGUUGGUGAGGUAACGGCUCACCAAGGCAACGAUGCGUAGCCGACCUGAGAGAGUGAUCGGCCACACUGGGACUGAGACACGGCCCAGACUCCUACGGGAGGCAGCAGUAGGGAAUCUUCCGCAAUGGACGAAAGUCUGACGGAGCAACGCCGCGUGAGUGAUGAAGGCUUUCGGGUCGUAAAACUCUGUUGUUAGGGAAGAACAAGUGCUAGUUGAAUAAGCUGGCACCUUGACGGUACCUAACCAGAAAGCCACGGCUAACUACGUGCCAGCCGCCGCAGUAA
RNAcentral lists this ribosomal RNA (515 nucleotides) under uncultured bacterium. RNAcentral describes it as "partial 16S ribosomal RNA". It matches the Rfam family "Bacterial small subunit ribosomal RNA", at positions 28 to 523 of the family's 1533-position model. The record is from RNAcentral.